UGCAGUCGAACGAUGAUCCCGGUGCUUGCACCGGGGAUUAGUGGCGAACGGGUGAGUAACACGUGAGUAACCUGCCCUUGACUCUGGGAUAAGCCUGGGAAACUGGGUCUAAUACCGGAUAUGACUUCCCAUCGCAUGGUGGGGGGUGGAAAGCUUUUGCGGUUUUGGAUGGACUCGCGGCCUAUCAGCUUGUUGGUGAGGUAAUGGCUUACCAAGGCGACGACGGGUAGCCGGCCUGAGAGGGUGACCGGCCACACUGGGACUGAGACACGGCCCAGACUCCUACGGGAGGCAGCAGUGGGGAAUAUUGCACAAUGGGCGAAAGCCUGAUGCAGCGACGCCGCGUGAGGGAUGACGGCCUUCGGGUUGUAAACCUCUUUCAGUAGGGAAGAAGCGAAAGUGACGGUACCUGCAGAAGAAGCGCCGGCUAACUACGUGCCAGCAGCCGCGGUAAUACGUAGGGCGCAAGCGUUAUCCGGAAUUAUUGGGCGUAAAGAGCUCGUAGGCGGUUUGUCGCGUCUGCCGUGAAAGUCCGGGGCUCAACUCCGGAUCUGCGGUGGGUACGGGCAGACUAGAGUGAUGUAGGGGAGACUGGAAUUCCUGGUGUAGCGGUGAAAUGCGCAGAUAUCAGGAGGAACACCGAUGGCGAAGGCAGGUCUCUGGGCAUUAACUGACGCUGAGGAGCGAAAGCAUGGGGAGCGAACAGGAUUAGAUACCCUGGUAGUCCAUGCCGUAAACGUUGGGCACUAGGUGUGGGGGACAUUCCACGUUUUCCGCGCCGUAGCUAACGCAUUAAGUGCCCCGCCUGGGGAGUACGGCCGCAAGGCUAAAACUCAAAGGAAUUGACGGGGGCCCGCACAAGCGGCGGAGCAUGCGGAUUAAUUCGAUGCAACGCGAAGAACCUUACCAAGGCUUGACAUGGACCGGACCGCCGCAGAAAUGUGGUUUCUCCUUUUGGGGCCGGUUCACAGGUGGUGCAUGGUUGUCGUCAGCUCGUGUCGUGAGAUGUUGGGUUAAGUCCCGCAACGAGCGCAACCCUCGUUCCAUGUUGCCAGCACUUCGGGUGGGGACUCAUGGGAGACUGCCGGGGUCAACUCGGAGGAAGGUGGGGACGACGUCAAAUCAUCAUGCCCCUUAUGUCUUGGGCUUCACGCAUGCUACAAUGGCCGGUACAAAGGGUUGCGAUACUGUGAGGUGGAGCUAAUCCCAAAAAGCCGGUCUCAGUUCGGAUUGGGGUCUGCAACUCGACCCCAUGAAGUCGGAGUCGCUAGUAAUCGCAGAUCAGCAACGCUGCGGUGAAUACGUUCCCGGGCCUUGUACACACCGCCCGUCAAGUCACGAAAGUUGGUAACACCCGAAGCCGG
This 1364-nucleotide ribosomal RNA is filed under the name Arthrobacter globiformis. RNAcentral's name for it is "bacterial SSU rRNA". It matches the Rfam family "Bacterial small subunit ribosomal RNA", at positions 56 to 1430 of the family's 1533-position model. Lineage: Bacteria; Bacillati; Actinomycetota; Actinomycetes; Micrococcales; Micrococcaceae. The record is from RNAcentral.